AGCCGCUGAUGACUUCUAAUACUUUUCUGACACCUCGUAUGAACGCUGUAUUACAGCAGCUGAUUAUAAUUUCUAGUCUGAGGCUC
Small nucleolar RNA from Cyprinus carpio carpio, 86 nucleotides. Lineage: Eukaryota; Metazoa; Chordata; Actinopteri; Cypriniformes; Cyprinidae. The record is from Ensembl.